AUUGAACGCUGGCGACAUGCCUUACACAUGCAAGUCGAACGGUAACAGGUCUUCGGACGCUGACGAGUGGCGAACGGGUGAGUAAUACAUCGGAACGUGCCCAGUCGUGGGGGAUAACUACUCGAAAGAGUAGCUAAUACCGCAUACGAUCUGAGGAUGAAAGCGGGGGACCUUCGGGCCUCGCGCGAUUGGAGCGGCCGAUGGCAGAUUAGGUAGUUGGUGGGAUAAAAGCUUACCAAGCCGACGAUCUGUAGCUGGUCUGAGAGGACGACCAGCCGAACUGGGACUGAGACACGGCCCAGACUCCUACGGGAGGCAGCAGUGGGGAAUUUUGGACAAUGGGCGAAAGCCUGAUCCAGCAAUGCCGCGUGCAGGAUGAAGGCCUUCGGGUUGUAAACUGCUUUUGUACGGAACGAAAAAGUCUCCUCUAAUACAGGAGGCCCAUGACGGUACCGUAAGAAUAAGCACCGGCUAACUACGUGCCAGCAGCCGCCGUAA
RNAcentral lists this ribosomal RNA (498 nucleotides) under uncultured bacterium. Its description in RNAcentral is "partial 16S ribosomal RNA". It matches the Rfam family "Bacterial small subunit ribosomal RNA", at positions 30 to 523 of the family's 1533-position model. The record is from RNAcentral.